CCCUUAGAUGUUCUGGGCCGCACGCGCGCUACACUGACGGAUUCAACGAGCUUACAACCUUGGCCGAAAGGUCUGGGUAAUCUCCAAAAUCCGUCGUGAUGGGGAUAGAUUAUUGCAAUUAUUAAUCUUCAACGAGGAAUGCCUAGUAAGCGCAAGUCAUCAGCUUGCGUUGAAUACGUCCCUGCCCUUUGUACACACCGCCCGUCGCUCCUACCGAUGAAUCGUCCGGUGAAGUUCACAGAGUGGCGGUUCGUGGAGUUGCUCGCGAAGUGAAAUGGACCUCACGAUUUAGAGGAAGGAGAAGUCGUAACA
This 312-nucleotide ribosomal RNA is filed under the name uncultured eukaryote. Its description in RNAcentral is "partial 18S ribosomal RNA". It matches the Rfam family "Eukaryotic small subunit ribosomal RNA", at positions 1470 to 1796 of the family's 1831-position model. The record is from RNAcentral.